UUCAUUCAACGUUUUUUUUUCAAUAAUUAUGUUCAAUUCGUUUUUUACAGGCAACAUAACAAAUUAAAUCAAAAACGUACUUCAAUUGGACAAAUUAAGAAAUAAAAAAUUCUGUAACAAAAUUGAGACGAAAAUCUGUAAAUUUAUUAACAAUUUUACUCUAUUCAUCAAUAACAUUGAUAAGUUGUAUUUAUACAUUUAACAAAGCAAUAAUGUUAUCCUAUAUUGAACAAUCUUAUAAUUCCACAUUUCAAACAGCUCAAAAAAAAAAAUUUAAUAAGCAUAUUCAGAAGAU
Ceratosolen solmsi marchali is the source of this 295-nucleotide long non-coding RNA. RefSeq lists it as uncharacterized. The transcript is spliced from 3 exons. NCBI's taxonomy places the organism in Eukaryota, Metazoa, Arthropoda, Insecta, Hymenoptera, Agaonidae. The record is from RefSeq and is a predicted model, not a curated record.